AUUCUAAUUUCACGCCCAAUCAACUUACUAAGUUUCUAAAGGCUAGAAAUGAUAAAACCAACCCGAAAUAUGGUUAAAGCAUUUCAUCAAACAUGUUGAGUGCGAAAAACUUGAAACGAAAUAAGAGAAUUCAAAGCUUAGUAUCAAUGUGAUAGAGAAGAGAACAUAACUAUUGUAUACUUUAAUGCAGUCUAUGAAAAAAAUCCAAACCACUGCCAAAUCAAAUAGUUACUUAUUGUAAUAGAAAUAAGAAGUUGCAGAGUUUCAAGCAGUGUAUUGGUGUUGUGUGAGUGUGUUGGUGGUGGGUUUAGGGAACUCACGGCGGCGACAAAAGAGAGCAGUUCGACAGCUAGGUGGAGCGCACGGGUUGGUCGCAGAGUUUGAAGCAGGGCAACGUGGCUUCCAGACGAACGCGAACCCGAACGGUGAACGGCGAUGAACGCGAACGGUGAACGCCGAGCAAACUUGAACGGCGAAGAACGCGAACAAAGACGACGGCUGAACGAAGACGCGAACGUUAACGGCAACCAACGGCGGCGGAAGCGCGGCUGAGCAGACAAAGACGACGGACGCCGAGCUCGAGGAAGCAGCUGCGAUCGGUGACAGCGAACGGGGGUUGGAGACUUGGAGC
This is a non-coding RNA of Arachis ipaensis, 631 nucleotides long. The record is from RefSeq and is a predicted model, not a curated record. NCBI's taxonomy places the organism in Eukaryota, Viridiplantae, Streptophyta, Magnoliopsida, Fabales, Fabaceae.